RNAcentral lists this ribosomal RNA (206 nucleotides) under Rana graeca (Greek frog). RNAcentral's name for it is "partial 16S ribosomal RNA". The record is from RNAcentral. Lineage: Eukaryota; Metazoa; Chordata; Amphibia; Anura; Ranidae.
CCAUGGAGCUUUAAACUCACUAUACACCUCUGUGCCUUUAUGUCACUAGACACAAGAGAUCUGCGUACUAGUUUUAGGUUGGGGGGACCACGGAGUAUAAUUUAACCUCCAUAACAAAUGGGCUAACACCCUUAUCUACGAGACACAACUCUAAGAAUUACUAAACUAAUGCUUAUGACCCGAUAUUCGAUCAAUGAACCAAGUUA